This 1372-nucleotide ribosomal RNA is filed under the name uncultured bacterium. RNAcentral's name for it is "bacterial SSU rRNA". It matches the Rfam family "Bacterial small subunit ribosomal RNA", at positions 28 to 1381 of the family's 1533-position model. The record is from RNAcentral.
GAUGAACGCUGGCGGCGUGCCUAAUACAUGCAAGUCGAGCGAACGGACGAGAAGCUUGCUUCUCUGAUGUUAGCGGCGGACGGGUGAGUAACACGUGGAUAACCUACCUAUAAGACUGGGAUAACUUCGGGAAACCGGAGCUAAUACCGGAUAAUAUUUUGAACCGCAUGGUUCAAAAGUGAAAGACGGUCUUGCUGUCACUUAUAGAUGGAUCCGCGCUGCAUUAGCUAGUUGGUAAGGUAACGGCUUACCAAGGCAACGAUGCAUAGCCGACCUGAGAGGGUGAUCGGCCACACUGGAACUGAGACACGGUCCAGACUCCUGCGGGAGGCAGCAGUAGGGAAUCUUCCGCAAUGGGCGAAAGCCUGACGGAGCAACGCCGCGUGAGUGAUGAAGGUCUUCGGAUCGUAAAACUCUGUUAUUAGGGAAGAACAUAUGUGUAAGUAACUGUGCACAUCUUGACGGUACCUAAUCAGAAAGCCACGGCUAACUACGUGCCAGCAGCCGCGGUAAUACGUAGGUGGCAAGCGUUAUCCGGAAUUAUUGGGCGUAAAGCGCGCGUAGGCGGUUUUUUAAGUCUGAUGUGAAAGCCCACGGCUCAACCGUGGAGGGUCAUUGGAAACUGGAAAACUUGAGUGCAGAAGAGGAAAGUGGAAUUCCAUGUGUAGCGGUGAAAUGCGCAGAGAUAUGGAGGAACACCAGUGGCGAAGGCGACUUUCUGGUCUGUAACUGACGCUGAUGUGCGAAAGCGUGGGGAUCAAACAGGAUUAGAUACCCUGGUAGUCCACGCCGUAAACGAUGAGUGCUAAGUGUUAGGGGGUUUCCGCCCCUUAGUGCUGCAGCUAACGCAUUAAGCACUCCGCCUGGGGAGUACGACCGCAAGGUUGAAACUCAAAGGAAUUGACGGGGACCCGCACAAGCGGUGGAGCAUGUGGUUUAAUUCGAAGCAACGCGAAGAACCUUACCAAAUCUUGACAUCCUUUGACAACUCUAGAGAUAGAGCCUUCCCCUUCGGGGGACAAAGUGACAGGUGGUGCAUGGUUGUCGUCAGCUCGUGUCGUGAGAUGUUGGGUUAAGUCCCGCAACGAGCGCAACCCUUAAGCUUAGUUGCCAUCAUUAAGUUGGGCACUCUAAGUUGACUGCCGGUGACAAACCGGAGGAAGGUGGGGAUGACGUCAAAUCAUCAUGCCCCUUAUGAUUUGGGCUACACACAUGCUACAAUGGACAAUACAAAGGGCAGCGAAACCGCGAGGUCAAGCAAAUCCCAUAAAGUUGUUCUCAGUUCGGAUUGUAGUCUGCAACUCGACUACAUGAAGCUGGAAUCGCUAGUAAUCGUAGAUCAGCAUGCUACGGUGAAUACGUUCCCGGGUCU